GCCGUCCAGCCAAUAUGGUGGAUAUGACCCUCGGCUUGUAACCGAGGGGGAUCGGGUUCGAAUCCCGAAUAAGGCA
RNAcentral lists this transfer RNA (76 nucleotides) under Trichonephila clavata. Its description in RNAcentral is "tRNA-Thr". Lineage: Eukaryota; Metazoa; Arthropoda; Arachnida; Araneae; Nephilidae. The record is from RNAcentral.